Molecule: ribosomal RNA, 547 nt
Filed under: Pichia occidentalis
Lineage: Eukaryota; Fungi; Ascomycota; Pichiomycetes; Pichiales; Pichiaceae
Description: partial large subunit ribosomal RNA
Rfam family: Eukaryotic large subunit ribosomal RNA
Source: RNAcentral
AUACCCGCUGAACUUAAGCAUAUCAAUAAGCGGAGGAAAAGAAACCAACAGGGAUUGCCUCAGUAGCGGCGAGUGAAGCGGCAAAAGCUCAGAUUUGAAAUCGUGUUUCGGCACGAGUUGUAGAUUGCAGGUUGGAGUCUUUGUGGAAGCGUGUGUCUAAGUCCCUUGGAACAGGGUGCCAUUGAGGGUGAGAGCCCCGUGAGACGCGUGCGGAAGCUGUAAGGCCCUUCUGACGAGUCGAGUUGUUUGGGAAUGCAGCUCUAAGUGGGUGGUAAAUUCCAUCUAAGGCUAAAUAUUGGCGAGAGACCGAUAGCGAACAAGUACUGUGAAGGAAAGAUGAAAAGCACUUUGAAAAGAGAGUGAAACAGCACGUGAAAUUGUUGAAAGGGAAGGGUAUUGGGCUCGACAUGGGAUUUGCGCACCGCUGCUCCUUGUGGGCGGCGCUCUGUGCUUUUCCUGGGCCAGCAUCGGUUUUUGCCGCAGGAGAAGGCGUGCUGGAAUGUGGCUCUUCGGAGUGUUAUAGCCAGUGCGAGAUGCUGCGUGCGGG